UUUGUCAAGGUCUCUGUUUCCUCUUUCCUAUAGUAUCCUUUACAUGUUUCUACAAUGAUACUUGCUGAACAUAGUUCCUGCAAUGUAGUACAGAAAAUUACUAUUUCAUUGUGAGUCUGUGACUAAUAGGAUAAGCUAUGCAUUUUAUUUCUGAACUUACAGCAGUUCCAAUGCUUAACUAAAUGCCUAAAGUGUUACUUUUGCUAUAUUUGUCCUCCAUAUGGGGAACCUUGUCCUCAGGAACAUGGAAGAAUCUGUAGUUCCUAGGCUAAACUUUUAGUUUUACCAAUGAUAAGAUAGCCUGCCUACAAUGCCCAUACGACCACUACUUAUUGUCUUGAUGACAUGAUCGAGUCCGUACCAUGAUUGCUUUUUCCCCAAAAAGAUGGCGAUUGCUUAAUUCAAGUGCACAAUAAUUGGCACUCUCCAUGCAAUGCUCAUCCUUCACAAAAUCCAUGUACCUGAUCCAAGGAAACUACUAUUUCGUUGUAUGUACCCAAUCUAUGUAGUACCAGUAACUUUUUCUGACUUUUUUUUUCUUCUGUGUAUAGGGGUGCGACGCAUCCGUGCUACUGGACAACAGUAGCAGCAUAAUCAGCGAGAAGGGGUCCAACCCCAAUCUGAACUCCCUCCGCGGGUUCGAGGUCGUUGACCAGAUCAAGGUCGCCCUUGAGACAGCCUGCCCCGGUACUGUCUCCUGCGCCGAUAUCCUCGCCCUCGCCGCCCGUGACUCUACUGUCCUUGUAUGUGCACACCAAAAAUAAUUCUUUCCAAGAUAGCAUGAAUUAAACAAUGCGUCCAGUAUUUGUGAUUCUUUGGGACCCAAAUUAACCUGCAGGUUGGUGGCCCUUACUGGGACGUGCCGCUCGGCCGCAGGGACUCUCUGGGCGCGAGCAUCCAGGGAUCAAACAAUGACAUCCCUGCCCCCAACAACACCCUCCCCACCAUCAUCACCAAGUUCAAUCGCCUCGGUCUCAACGUCGUCGAUGUCGUCGCCCUCUCAGGUGGCCACACCAUCGGCUUGUCCCGCUGCACCAGCUUCCGGCAGAGGCUGUACAACCAGUCGGGCAACGGCCUGGCAGACAGCACACUGGAUGUGUCCUACGCGGCGCAACUAAGGCAGGGGUGCCCCCGCUCUGGCGGCGACAACAAUCUCUUCCCACUCGACGUUGUCAGCUCGACCAAGUUUGACAACUUCUACUUCAAGAACAUCCUUGCCGGUAGGGGUCUCCUCAGCUCUGACGAGGUCCUGCUUACCAAGAGCGCGGAAACAGCAGCACUCGUGAAGGCGUACGCGAAUGAUGUGCAUCUCUUCUUCCAGCACUUUGCACAGUCGAUGGUGAACAUGGGCAACAUCAUGCCACUGACUGGGUCACAGGGGGAGAUCAGGAAGGACUGCAGGAGGCUCAACAACUAUCACUGAGUUACUGAAGCUCCUGAAAGUGCUGAAUUGUGUGGGAAGUUGGCGCCAUAUUUUGUUUGAAUAAGCAAGUGUGGUUGUAAUUUUCAAAAUCGCUUGAUCAUUUGUGUUAUGUAAUUGCAUUAUGAAAUGUGUGUAAUAAUAAUUCAAUAUAUAAGAUGAGUUCACUUGUUUGCUUUAGAGCUGGUUGUUUGACAUAACUUACCAAGUUCUGACUUCCAAAUUUCACUCAUGGUAUACAUCCACCUAUUGUUCAACAGCUCUCGUGGUACUCCAGCUGUGCUGACUUCAAGAUUUAUCAUCUGUCAAAAUAAAAUGGAUCAAAAAGAAUUAGUCUUUCAAGAUACUUAUAAAUUAUUGAUUCAAUCUUGUUAUGCCUCCAAGAAAUAUCUCGGACGGUUAUGGAACCAGUAUAACUAAAUAUGACUUGACCAAGUUUGCGCUGAUGACCACUAGGAUACACCACAUCGUAUUGCUGUGCCAUACUAGGUUAAUAAAACAAGUAAACCUCCUAAUUUCUAAAUGAAGAAAAUCAGGUACAUGUGAUUCUUUUCAGCACAAGUUGUUCAAAGCUAGCAGCUGUGUUAUCUUUUGAUGACAGCUGGAGAAAUCAGGAUGCCAAUCAAACUGGAACAAGAGCAAGUGAGGAGAAGUGCCCAAAAAAGAGGAGUCCAGUCUCCUCCCUUGCUCAUCGGAAGAGCGCAACCUGGUGCAUGUAGCUCCCGCUUGCGCAGGGUCCAGGGAAGGGUCCGACCACUUUGGGUCUAUAGUACGCAGCAUUUCCCUACAUUUCUAUAAGAGGCUGUUUCCAGGACUUGAACCCAUGACCUCAUGGUCACAAGGCAGCAGCUUUACCACUGCGCCAAGGCUCCCCUUCUGCUCAUCGGAAGAGCAAGCAAGGAAUUAUCACACAGUAAACUAGUCGUGCCAAGUUUCACCAUAGUAAUCAGAGAUGCAAAUCAUGAUUGCAAAAAUAAAUUCAAGGAUCUGUGAUGUUGAUAUUUCAUCAAACAGAUAGGUAUAGGGCAACUUGCAUUGCAAACCCUCAGUUCCUGCUUUCAUACUACACUAAUACUGUUAGAACUCAUGGACGAGAGGUGUAAUCAAUACCGCACAGGAUACUUGGUUCCAGCAGAGAGGAAUUUAUUUGUAGACUCUAUGCUUGAAGUCACUCAUUAGCUGAGAACCACCAGCUCAACAUCCAGAGAAGCUGGGAGCAAACUAAGGCAUUUCAUAAACUGGUUGCUUCGGGGAAUUAGUUUUUUGAGCUUCUUGUGUCAGGGGUUCAUGAUAUUUCUUUACAACACCGAAAAUGACACGUAGGUUUCUUGAAAAUCAUAUUUUAAUUUCUUGAAAAUCAUAUUUUAAUCAUGUUUAUCUGAAACCAGUAAGUUCCCAGAUAGUUGUGGCUAACCUCACCCGGUUGAAUUAAAAGUUUUUUGAAAGAGUAAAGACCAUCUAAUAAAUGGCCACAUAAAUCUAAGUAUAGAGCAAGGGUGAUUGUGUUCCGUUCAUAUGUACAAGGUUCCAUUUUCAGUUUGUACAGGGGCAAAUGGAAAGGCAGACUACUAGACUAGCCGCUUUAACAUGUAUUAACAGAAUCUAUAUGUGAAGCAGGAGACAAGAGAAUCAUUACAUUGUCAAAGAUUUCAAAGGAAAGAUAUUCGAAUAGGGCUAGAAAGUGAAAAUAACAAGACAAUGAGGGAACAAAGAGCAUAUAGUUAAACUAAUUACCUGCAGGUCCAUUGCUCUUACAAGCUUUC
This 3183-nucleotide long non-coding RNA is filed under the name Triticum aestivum (bread wheat). RNAcentral's name for it is "long non-coding RNA (TAES_LNC027169)". The record is from RNAcentral. Lineage: Eukaryota; Viridiplantae; Streptophyta; Magnoliopsida; Poales; Poaceae.